Molecule: long non-coding RNA, 318 nt
Filed under: Elaeis guineensis (African oil palm)
Lineage: Eukaryota; Viridiplantae; Streptophyta; Magnoliopsida; Arecales; Arecaceae
Description: long non-coding RNA (EGUI_LNC046438)
Source: RNAcentral
GGCCAGGGUAGUCCUAGUGAGGAGUCACAGGACUAAUUGAGUUGAGCACGAUUCGGAUGAUCUCAUCAGGGUUGACAGUUUAACCCUGAGUCAUCCUAAACACAGGAGUCAAAAGAGAUGAAUUAUACGGUAACCAUAUUCACGUAGGUUCUGAAUGUUGCGAUUGCGACUAUUCAAUCUAUCCGAUCAUCGGGUACCAUUGCUAGAUGGUUACUUCGAUUAGUAUAGGAAUUGGUUCCUGUGCUACCGGCUUAGGUUCGAACCUGCGGGGUCACACACAUUAGAGGUUUCUUUCUGAUCUGAUGGCUGAUUAUGAGU